AGCAGUGUGGCCUAAUGGAAAAAGUACUGGCCUGGGAGUCAGAGGCCCUGGGUUCUAAUCCCAGCUUCGCCA
RNAcentral lists this transfer RNA (72 nucleotides) under Ornithorhynchus anatinus (platypus). It matches the Rfam family "tRNA". Rfam says of the family: Transfer RNA (tRNA) molecules are approximately 80 nucleotides in length. Their secondary structure includes four short double-helical elements and three loops (D, anti-codon, and T loops). Further hydrogen bonds mediate the characteristic L-shaped molecular structure. tRNAs have two regions of fundamental functional importance: the anti-codon, which is responsible for specific mRNA codon recognition, and the 3' end, to which the tRNAs corresponding amino acid is attached (by aminoacyl-tRNA synthetases). tRNAs cope with the degeneracy of the genetic code in two manners: having more than one tRNA (with a specific anti-codon) for a particular amino acid; and 'wobble' base-pairing, i.e. permitting non-standard base-pairing at the 3rd anti-codon position. The record is from Rfam by way of RNAcentral. Lineage: Eukaryota; Metazoa; Chordata; Mammalia; Monotremata; Ornithorhynchidae.